AUGACCGACGCAAAAUUGCCGGAUAUGCAGGCCGGAUGGGAGCAAAUGUGUUCCAAUGUCACCAGCGCGCUGGCAGGUGUGAAUAUGGUCUAUGAGGCCG
This is a regulatory RNA element of 100 nucleotides. It matches the Rfam family "Pyrrolysine insertion sequence mttB". The record is from Rfam.